Molecule: transfer RNA, 82 nt
Organism: Ipomoea nil (Japanese morning glory)
Lineage: Eukaryota; Viridiplantae; Streptophyta; Magnoliopsida; Solanales; Convolvulaceae
Rfam family: tRNA
About the family: Transfer RNA (tRNA) molecules are approximately 80 nucleotides in length. Their secondary structure includes four short double-helical elements and three loops (D, anti-codon, and T loops). Further hydrogen bonds mediate the characteristic L-shaped molecular structure. tRNAs have two regions of fundamental functional importance: the anti-codon, which is responsible for specific mRNA codon recognition, and the 3' end, to which the tRNAs corresponding amino acid is attached (by aminoacyl-tRNA synthetases). tRNAs cope with the degeneracy of the genetic code in two manners: having more than one tRNA (with a specific anti-codon) for a particular amino acid; and 'wobble' base-pairing, i.e. permitting non-standard base-pairing at the 3rd anti-codon position.
Source: Rfam
GUGGGCAUGCCGGAGUGGUUAUCGGGCAUGACUAGAAAUCAUGUGGGUUUUGCCCGCGCAGGUUCGAAUCCUGCCGCUCAUG